Molecule: ribosomal RNA, 2930 nt
Filed under: Escherichia coli
Lineage: Bacteria; Pseudomonadati; Pseudomonadota; Gammaproteobacteria; Enterobacterales; Enterobacteriaceae
Also listed under: 4 other names
Description: bacterial LSU rRNA
Rfam family: Bacterial large subunit ribosomal RNA
Source: RNAcentral
GGGUUGUGAGGUUAAGCGACUAAGCGUACACGGUGGAUGCCCUGGCAGUCAGAGGCGAUGAAGGACGUGCUAAUCUGCGAUAAGCGUCGGUAAGGUGAUAUGAACCGUUAUAACCGGCGAUUUCCGAAUGGGGAAACCCAGUGUGAUUCGUCACACUAUCAUUAACUGAAUCCAUAGGUUAAUGAGGCGAACCGGGGGAACUGAAACAUCUAAGUACCCCGAGGAAAAGAAAUCAACCGAGAUUCCCCCAGUAGCGGCGAGCGAACGGGGAGCAGCCCAGAGCCUGAAUCAGUGUGUGUGUUAGUGGAAGCGUCUGGAAAGGCGCGCGAUACAGGGUGACAGCCCCGUACACAAAAAUGCACAUGCUGUGAGCUCGAUGAGUAGGGCGGGACACGUGGUAUCCUGUCUGAAUAUGGGGGGACCAUCCUCCAAGGCUAAAUACUCCUGACUGACCGAUAGUGAACCAGUACCGUGAGGGAAAGGCGAAAAGAACCCCGGCGAGGGGAGUGAAAAAGAACCUGAAACCGUGUACGUACAAGCAGUGGGAGCACGCUUAGGCGUGUGACUGCGUACCUUUUGUAUAAUGGGUCAGCGACUUAUAUUCUGUAGCAAGGUUAACCGAAUAGGGGAGCCGAAGGGAAACCGAGUCUUAACUGGGCGUUAAGUUGCAGGGUAUAGACCCGAAACCCGGUGAUCUAGCCAUGGGCAGGUUGAAGGUUGGGUAACACUAACUGGAGGACCGAACCGACUAAUGUUGAAAAAUUAGCGGAUGACUUGUGGCUGGGGGUGAAAGGCCAAUCAAACCGGGAGAUAGCUGGUUCUCCCCGAAAGCUAUUUAGGUAGCGCCUCGUGAAUUCAUCUCCGGGGGUAGAGCACUGUUUCGGCAAGGGGGUCAUCCCGACUUACCAACCCGAUGCAAACUGCGAAUACCGGAGAAUGUUAUCACGGGAGACACACGGCGGGUGCUAACGUCCGUCGUGAAGAGGGAAACAACCCAGACCGCCAGCUAAGGUCCCAAAGUCAUGGUUAAGUGGGAAACGAUGUGGGAAGGCCCAGACAGCCAGGAUGUUGGCUUAGAAGCAGCCAUCAUUUAAAGAAAGCGUAAUAGCUCACUGGUCGAGUCGGCCUGCGCGGAAGAUGUAACGGGGCUAAACCAUGCACCGAAGCUGCGGCAGCGACGCUGAUGCGUUGUUGGGUAGGGGAGCGUUCUGUAAGCCUGUGAAGGUGUGCUGUGAGGCAUGCUGGAGGUAUCAGAAGUGCGAAUGCUGACAUAAGUAACGAUAAAGCGGGUGAAAAGCCCGCUCGCCGGAAGACCAAGGGUUCCUGUCCAACGUUAAUCGGGGCAGGGUGAGUCGACCCCUAAGGCGAGGCCGAAAGGCGUAGUCGAUGGGAAACAGGUUAAUAUUCCUGUACUUGGUGUUACUGCGAAGGGGGGACGGAGAAGGCUAUGUUGGCCGGGCGACGGUUGUCCCGGUUUAAGCGUGUAGGCUGGUUUUCCAGGCAAAUCCGGAAAAUCAAGGCUGAGGCGUGAUGACGAGGCACUACGGUGCUGAAGCAACAAAUGCCCUGCUUCCAGGAAAAGCCUCUAAGCAUCAGGUAACAUCAAAUCGUACCCCAAACCGACACAGGUGGUCAGGUAGAGAAUACCAAGGCGCUUGAGAGAACUCGGGUGAAGGAACUAGGCAAAAUGGUGCCGUAACUUCGGGAGAAGGCACGCUGAUAUGUAGGUGAAGUCCCUCGCGGAUGGAGCUGAAAUCAGUCGAAGAUACCAGCUGGCUGCAACUGUUUAUUAAAAACACAGCACUGUGCAAACACGAAAGUGGACGUAUACGGUGUGACGCCUGCCCGGUGCCGGAAGGUUAAUUGAUGGGGUCAGCGCAAGCGAAGCUCUUGAUCGAAGCCCCGGUAAACGGCGGCCGUAACUAUAACGGUCCUAAGGUAGCGAAAUUCCUUGUCGGGUAAGUUCCGACCUGCACGAAUGGCGUAAUGAUGGCCAGGCUGUCUCCACCCGAGACUCAGUGAAAUUGAACUCGCUGUGAAGAUGCAGUGUACCCGCGGCAAGACGGAAAGACCCCGUGAACCUUUACUAUAGCUUGACACUGAACAUUGAGCCUUGAUGUGUAGGAUAGGUGGGAGGCUUUGAAGUGUGGACGCCAGUCUGCAUGGAGCCGGCCUUGAAAUACCACCCUUUAAUGUUUGAUGUUCUAACGUUGACCCGUGAUCCGGGUUGCGGACAGUGUCUGGUGGGUAGUUUGACUGGGGCGGUCUCCUCCUAAAGAGUAACGGAGGAGCACGAAGGUUGGCUAAUCCUGGUCGGACAUCAGGAGGUUAGUGCAAUGGCAUAAGCCAGCUUGACUGCGAGCGUGACGGCGCGAGCAGGUGCGAAAGCAGGUCAUAGUGAUCCGGUGGUUCUGAAUGGAAGGGCCAUCGCUCAACGGAUAAAAGGUACUCCGGGGAUAACAGGCUGAUACCGCCCAAGAGUUCAUAUCGACGGCGGUGUUUGGCACCUCGAUGUCGGCUCAUCACAUCCUGGGGCUGAAGUAGGUCCCAAGGGUAUGGCUGUUCGCCAUUUAAAGUGGUACGCGAGCUGGGUUUAGAACGUCGUGAGACAGUUCGGUCCCUAUCUGCCGUGGGCGCUGGAGAACUGAGGGGGGCUGCUCCUAGUACGAGAGGACCGGAGUGGACGCAUCACUGGUGUUCGGGUUGUCAUGCCAAUGGCACUGCCCGGUAGCUAAAUGCGGAAGAGAUAAGUGCUGAAAGCAUCUAAGCACGAAACUUGCCCCGAGAUGAGUUCUCCCUGACUCCUUGAGAGUCCUGAAGGAACGUUGAAGACGACGACGUUGAUAGGCCGGGUGUGUAAGCGCAGCGAUGCGUUGAGCUAACCGGUACUAAUGAACCGUGAGGCUUAACCUUACAACGCCGAAGCUGUU